This 540-nucleotide ribosomal RNA is filed under the name Microhyla pulchra. Its description in RNAcentral is "partial 16S ribosomal RNA". It matches the Rfam family "Bacterial large subunit ribosomal RNA", at positions 1854 to 2610 of the family's 2925-position model. The record is from RNAcentral. Lineage: Eukaryota; Metazoa; Chordata; Amphibia; Anura; Microhylidae.
CCAGCCUGCCCAGUGACAAAGUUAAACGGCCGCGGUACCCUAACCGUGCAAAGGUAGCGCAAUCACUUGUUCUUUAAAUGAGGACCGGUAUGAACGGCAUCACGAGGGUUAUACUGUCUCCCCACUCAACUCAGUGAAACUGAUCUUCCCGUGAAGAAGCGGGAAUAAAGAUAUAAGACGAGAAGACCCCAUGGAGCUUAAAACUCAGAAUCAACUGCCACAUUUAUAACCUCAUAACCACGCAGCCAUGACCUCUAGUUUUCGGUUGGGGUGACCGCGGAGUAAAACACAACCUCCAUGAUGAAAGGAACUAAUACCCUAAUCUAAGGACGACAGCCCUAAGAAUUAAUACAUUAACCCAAUUGAUCCAAUCACUUGAUCAACGAACCAAGUUACCCUGGGGAUAACAGCGCAAUCCAUUUCAAGAGCUCAUAUCGACAAAUGGGUUUACGACCUCGAUGUUGGAUCAGGAUAUCCCAGUGGCGCAGCCGCUACUAACGGUUCGUUUGUUCAACGAUUAAAAUCCUACGUGAUCUGAGU